AUGGCGGCCUCGCUCCUCUCGCGCGCCGCCUCGGCCGCCUUCGCCCUCCGCGGCGGCGCCCGGCUCCUCCCCAAGGAAACCCCCCUUCCUCCUCUCCUCCUCCUACUACUCCUCGCCACCGCCGCCGGCACGCUCCCCGCGGGCAGGGUCGGAUGGGCGCGCGCGGCGGAGGUCGGCUGCGGGGCGUCGCUGUCGCCGUCGAUGACGCGGUUCGGGAUCGCGGCGCGCUUCAACGCCACGUCAUCGGCCGUCUCGGAGGCCGCCGCCGCGUCGGGCGUCGUCGACGCGGUGCCGCGGACCGAGCCUGUCGUGUCCGCUGAGUGGCUCCACGCCAACCUCAGGGACCCUGAUGUGAAGGUACUUGAUGCCUCUUGGUAUAUGCCUGCAGAACAAAGGAAUCCACUUCAGGAGUACCAGGUGGCUCAUAUCCCUGGUGCUUUAUUCUUUGAUGUUGAUGGAAUAUCUGACAGAGCAUCUAAUCUGCCACACAUGCUGCCAUCUGAAAAAGCAUUUUCCGCCGCUGUGUCUUCUCUUGGCAUCUACAACAAAGAUGGAAUAGUAGUUUACGAUGGAAAGGGUCUAUUUAGCGCUGCUCGUGUUUGGUGGAUGUUUCGUGCUUAUGGACACGACAAAGUUUGGGUUUUGGAUGGAGGUUUGCCCCAAUGGCGUGCUUCUGGGUAUGAUGUUGAAUCAAGUGCCUCUAGUGAUGCUAUCUUAAAAGCCAGUGCUGCUAGUGAAGCAAUCGAGAAAGUUUAUCAGGGGCAAUCGGUUGGUCCCACCACAUUUGAAGCGAAGUUGCAGCCUCAUCUUCUUUGGAAUCUUGGUCAGGUGAAAGAGAACAUCGAGACCCAGACACAUCAACUUAUAGAUGCUCGAGGGAAGCCUAGAUUUGAUGGUGCAGUUCCAGAGCCACGCAAGGGAAUAAGAAGCGGGCAUGUGCCUGGGAGCAAAUGCGUUCCUUUUCCUCAGGUGCUUGACAGUACACAGAAGCUAUUGCCUGCAGAUGAGCUCCGUAAGCGAUUCGAGCAAGAAGGUAUAUCACUUGAUCAACCCAUUGUGACCUCUUGCGGCACUGGUGUGACAGCAUGUGUAUUAGCUUUGGGCCUUCACCGCCUCGGCAAAACUGAUGUUGCCGUGUACGAUGGAUCAUGGACCGAGUGGGGUGCUCACCCCGACACUCCAGUUGCUACUGCUGUUUAG
This 1200-nucleotide ribosomal RNA is filed under the name Triticum aestivum (bread wheat). RNAcentral describes it as "partial small subunit ribosomal RNA". Lineage: Eukaryota; Viridiplantae; Streptophyta; Magnoliopsida; Poales; Poaceae. The record is from RNAcentral.